Molecule: ribosomal RNA, 440 nt
Filed under: uncultured bacterium
Lineage: Bacteria
Description: partial 16S ribosomal RNA
Rfam family: Bacterial small subunit ribosomal RNA
Source: RNAcentral
CCUACGUGAGGCAGCAGUGGGGAAUAUUGCACAAUGGGGGAAACCCUGAUGCAGCGACGCCGCGUGAGUGAAGAAGUAAUUCGUUAUGUAAAGCUCUAUCAGCAGGGAAGAAAAUGACGGUACCUGAGUAAGACGCCCCGGCUACCUACGUGCCAGCAGCCGCGGUAAUACGUAGGGGGCAAGCGUUAUCCGGAUUUACUGGGUGUAAAGGGAGCGUAGACGGCAGUGCAAGUCUGGAGUGAAAGGCGGGGGCUCAACCCCCGGACUGCUCUGGAAACUGUACGGCUGGAGUGCAGGAGAGGUAAGUGGAAUUCCUAGUGUAGCGGUGAAAUGCGUAGAUAUUAGGAGGAACACCAGUGGCGAAGGCGGCUUACUGGACUGUAACUGACGUUGAGGCUCGAAAGCGUGGGGAGCAAACAGGAUUAGAUACCCUAGUAGUC